UUCCUAGUGAAUUAUAUAAUUGUAUGACCAAUCUGUAUUAAGCUUUAUUUGGAUUGCCUUUGGGCAAACUUAAGCGGUUGAAUAAUGCGAUUAAUAAAGAUUCAAUAUCCUUUUCUUGAAAAGAUACCUCUUUGUAGAGAAAGAAAAUCUUGCGGUAUUGAGCAUACUGAAUUUAUAGAGGUGGUGAAUCUCUUCAUAAGCUCUUUUAUCUGUAACCUAGAAUUUAUUAGCUAAAGGAUUAUUAGUUAGAUUUGUGUAUUGUGAAUGAAAGAUGAAAAGAAUACCGAAAGGUAGGUGAAAAGAACUAUAAACCCAAGACCCAUCAUUACCCUAAAUUAUAACUGCUUGUAGAAGAAAGAAUUAUCGAAUUUCAAGUUUAUCCUUCAGGUGUAUCUGAUACUCUACCCUUAAAGCCCGAAUGCUAGCGAUCUAACUAUCACAUUAUGAAAGUUGAGUCUAUUAAAGAUUAAAAUGCUCAGAGAUACACACCUGCCAUCCAAGCAAUAGUUAGCAGUUAAAUGUUAUACGAGCCAAUGUUAAUAUCUGGAUCUGUUCAAAAGAAAUAAUGCUGUCUAAUAAACAUCUUGUUCUUACUUGUAAAAUGAUCAGCUCAUUAAUCCAUGGAAAUAAGAUUCACCCAAAACUAUCCAUCAUUCGCAAUCUCGUUAAGAUGGGUAUUCACUUGUGUAACAAAUGGGAAAAGCCCAAAUAAGUAGCUAAAGUAAUGAYUUAAAUCAAAUUAUUAGCCCAUAUAGUCUUAAAUUACUCAAAAGUAGGAUUAAUAGGAUCCAUCUUUUCAAAAGUGUGUAGCAUCUUAUGAGCUAAAUUAUCCUUCGAGUCCACCAGGUAUUCCAAAUAAAGCCCUUACUGAAGCUCUAAAUGUCGAGAUAGAAUAAGAUCCUGGUCUUCCAAAAUGGCAAUUUAAGUAAUUUAAAUUAACAAAAACCUAAUUGUAUAUCCAGCAAGAUGUUCUCUCCUCUGUCAAUCACAUUACACAAGAAACAAGCCCUCAAGCAAGAUCUUUCCGUGAUAUAGCUGAAGGUUAGUUAGGUUCUUUUGUUAGAUAAAUGCCUUGUACACAUUAAAACAGCUUGGUCAUUACAAAUAAUUCUACAAGUCCAUAAUAAGUUAGCUCCAAGAACUUGACUCAUAAGUUGUUUAACUUAGGGAUAACAAUAAUAUUUAUCAACCGACUGUAUAGCAAAUACACAAGUUUUAGUUAAAGAUGUCUAGAAUUUAGAGCUGAUAUGUGACCAGUGCUUGUAUUAUUAUCCGAAACGUUGGCCGUAACUAUAACGGUCCUAAGGUAGCAAAUUUCCUUGUCGUCCUAAUAACGACCUGCAUGAAACAUAGAACGAUUCGAUAGCUGUCUUGCACACACAUCAUGGUAAAAUAUUCAUCAGUACGAAUAAUAUGCUGACUAAAGUUUAUUAACACUAAAGGACAAAAAGACCCUCUGAAGCUUUAUAGGGAUAAAACUUGGGUAACAUUCUCAAUACAAAUAUUCUUAUUGCAUGCCAGCUAAAGUAGUAAAUUAUUGGUUUUCUCCUAAGACCACUGUUUAAUUGGGGCGAUAACCUUAUCAACAGCCACCUAAGGUGAACAAAGCGAUACAAGGAUCCUAAACUUUUGACCAACUAAUAAGUGUAAAGAUACAUGUUUCGCUUAAUGGCCCAACAAGUCUUUCCCAGUACUUAAAUGCUAUCUUAAUGAGCUUUAAAUUAAUUUACCCGAGUUAAGCUACUCUACGGAUAACAGGCUUAAUUUCCGCAAUAUUAAAGGUCACAUUAUCACGAAAAAUGUACCUCGAUGUCGGCUUAUCAUUACUAAAAUAGGUAGCUUAAUUAUUGGUGGGAGUGCUCAUCCCGUAAAUUGGUUCGUGAGCUGGGUUCAAAACGAUGUAAAUCAGUUUGGUCUAUAUCUUUAAUUAUAUCACACAAGAAAUGCACUAUUUUCUCAGUACGCAAGGACCAGAAAGAUUAAGCUAAAGCUGAAUUUAACAAUAUAGUGGUAUCACUGUUUUAAGAUAAGUGAUUUGCAGCAUUCUUCCUGCAAACUCAUUUUAUCGACUUAAUUUGGCCAAAAAGUGAGCAAAAUAUAAAUUGAUGAGUUUUUAAAAUAAUUUUGGCCACAAAAUUAUAUGCACACCGAAGGGGUGCAUUAGAGGGCCCGCAGGAGCCCGCAAAGAAAAACCACGAAGUGGAACCKAGAAAAGGCUGCCGCUAAUUUUUGCCUAGAUCACGAUAUUUUUGGCCAAAAUUGCGACAUGUGCCCCAACCCGAAGGGUUGGGUCCUCGCGCACACGCGCACACGUAUUAAAAAGAUCGCGACUUAUAAUGUGCACCCCGAAGGGGUGCACAUAUGGGGCACCCUUUAGGGUGCCCCAUUAUAAUGGGUGCCCUUUAGGGCACCCAUAUGCACCCCUGAAGGGGUGCAUUAUAGGAGCCGGGAACGAGCCGAAAGGCGAGUGGACGUGCGACCACGAAAAAGAAAAAGAAAUCGCGACCUAUAAUGGGUGCCCCACAGGGGCACCCAUAUGCAUGCCCCCACAGGGGGCAUGCAUUAAUGGGGUGGGUGCCCUACCCACCCCAUAUGGGCCCACACUUCGUGGGGCCCAUAACGCCCUUCGGGCUUCAAAAAAUAAAAGGUAAAUUUAACCAAGUAAAACGAAGUGAAAGCAAUUUAGGCCAGAAUUAACGUGAAGUAGGCCAAUAUGUGCGGGUGUAUCUGCGAUGUUAACCUGCGAUAUGUGCCCCUCACCCUACUCCUCUCCUCUCGAAGUGAAGAUUGUGGCCAAAAUUAACUCCAACUCCAACAUCAAACCACUAAUUGUUGAUAU
RNAcentral lists this ribosomal RNA (2839 nucleotides) under Cladocopium sp. C3. Its description in RNAcentral is "partial 23S ribosomal RNA". The stretch from base 165 to 1964 matches the Rfam family "Bacterial large subunit ribosomal RNA". Lineage: Eukaryota; Dinophyceae; Suessiales; Symbiodiniaceae. The record is from RNAcentral.